Non-coding RNA from Salmo salar (Atlantic salmon), 54 nucleotides. Lineage: Eukaryota; Metazoa; Chordata; Actinopteri; Salmoniformes; Salmonidae. The record is from Rfam.
UGUAUUCACUACUGUAAGUCGCUCUGGAUAAGAGUGUCUGCUAAAUGACCAAAA